This 465-nucleotide ribosomal RNA is filed under the name uncultured bacterium. Its description in RNAcentral is "partial 16S ribosomal RNA". It matches the Rfam family "Bacterial small subunit ribosomal RNA", at positions 28 to 507 of the family's 1533-position model. The record is from RNAcentral.
GAUGAACGCUGGCGGCGUGCUUAACACAUGCAAGUCGAACGGAAAGGCUCCUGCUUGCAGGGGUACUCGAGUGGCGAACGGGUGAGUAACACGUGGGUGAUCUGCCCUGCACUUCGGGAUAAGCCUGGGAAACUGGGUCUAAUACCGGAUAGGACGAUGGUUUGGAUGCCAUUGUGGAAAGUUUUUUCGGUGUGGGAUGAGCUCGCGGCCUAUCAGCUUGUUGGUGGGUAAUGGCCUACCAAGGCGUCGACGGGUAGCCGGCCUGAGAGGGUGUACGGCCACAUUGGGACUGAGAUACGGCCCAGACUCCUACGGGAGGCAGCAGUGGGGAAUAUUGCACAAUGGGCGCAAGCCUGAUGCAGCGACGCCGCGUGGGGGAUGACGGCCUUCGGGUUGUAAACUCCUUUCGCUAGGGACGAAGCGCAAGUGACGGUACCUGGAGAAGAAGCACCGGCUAACUACGUG